This 465-nucleotide ribosomal RNA is filed under the name Vreelandella stevensii. RNAcentral's name for it is "partial 16S ribosomal RNA". It matches the Rfam family "Bacterial small subunit ribosomal RNA", at positions 338 to 795 of the family's 1533-position model. Lineage: Bacteria; Pseudomonadati; Pseudomonadota; Gammaproteobacteria; Oceanospirillales; Halomonadaceae. The record is from RNAcentral.
CCUACGGGAGGCAGCAGUGGGGAAUAUUGGACAAUGGGGGCAACCCUGAUCCAGCCAUGCCGCGUGUGUGAAGAAGGCCCUCGGGUUGUAAAGCACUUUCAGUGAGGAAGAACGCCUGGUGGUUAAUACCCAUCAGGAAAGACAUCACUCACAGAAGAAGCACCGGCUAACUCCGUGCCAGCAGCCGCGGUAAUACGGAGGGUGCGAGCGUUAAUCGGAAUUACUGGGCGUAAAGCGCGCGUAGGUGGCUUGAUAAGCCGGUUGUGAAAGCCCCGGGCUCAACCUGGGAACGGCAUCCGGAACUGUCAAGCUAGAGUGCAGGAGAGGAAGGUAGAAUUCCCGGUGUAGCGGUGAACUGCGUAGAGAUCGGGAGGAAUACCAGUGGCGAAGGCGGCCUUCUGGACUGAAACUGACACUGAGGUGCGAAAGCGUGGGUAGCAAACAGGAUUAGAUACCCGGGUAGUC